RNAcentral lists this long non-coding RNA (994 nucleotides) under Chrysemys picta bellii (western painted turtle). Its description in RNAcentral is "lncRNA (ENSCPBG00000017777.1)". Lineage: Eukaryota; Metazoa; Chordata; Testudines; Emydidae. The record is from RNAcentral.
CUGCUGUGUUUGCAGAUUACCCCUGGUCCCCCCCUUGCUCCAGGGACUAACCCUAGCUCCUGCCCCACUGUGUUUUUGCCCCCAGACCCUUUUACAAUCAUUCCCCAGGGGGGCCCACAAAUGUUUGGCGUCGCGCUCACAAAAAGUUAAUCCGGCCCUGUGACUGAUGCGCUGGCUGGUGCCAUGGUCUGGGCGGCUGUGGUGCUCCCCCGUCUUCUGCUGCUCUGGGCCCCGGGGCUGUGGCUGCCCUUCAACUCCCCACUGCCCUUUGACUGCUUGCCGCCCCCAAAAGCCACCCGGAUGGGGGCACCUGGCUCUUGGGGAGUAUCCACCGUGGGCGGCAGGAGCCUGGGGCAGAGUGGGUCUGUUUGGAUUGCCAUGGGGCAUCCUGGACCCUCUGCCUGCUCUGUGCGGUGCAGACAGUGAGUGGGGACUUCUGCGAUGCUGCUGGUGGUGGCACUGUCUUCAGAGCUGGGCAGCCAAAGAGCUAGCCAGUCAGGCUAAUGCAGUGUGUUUCUCUUGCAGCAACAGUGACACCCAGUGGCAAUCAAUGGUACUGCACAGAGUAUGGUGUUUUGCAUGGAGCAACAGUGGCACCUGGUGCACAGUCAAGGAAAGACUAUCUGCCAUUACUGCGACUUGUUGUCUGAAACAGUGAAUGAAGAUGGCAUCUCCCGCCUGUAUGAAGCUUUUCAGGAAGUGCCUUUGAAAUCUGACAGGACCACGUGGCACAUCCUCAGUACACAUUACAAGUGGUUGCAGAAGCUUGGAAAUCUUGCGUGGGGUUCUGCAUUCAACUAGGGAACCGGAACCGACACAGAAGACCUCUUUGUCCUGCUAUGCUACGUACAACAGACGUUUAUCAACUCUUUGGAACAGGGGCUGAACGGUGAGGUGGCUAUUUGCAGAUGACACAAAAUUAUGUAGGUUAGUCGAGCCUAGAGAAGACUUUGAAGCAGUUGAAAGAGAUCUAAUAAAGCCAUGUGACUGGGCA